GGGCUUGUAGCUCAGUGGACUAGAGCGCGUGGCUACGAACCACGGUGUCGGGAGUUCGAAUCUCUCCUAGCUCAUAA
RNAcentral lists this transfer RNA (77 nucleotides) under Fucus vesiculosus. RNAcentral describes it as "transfer RNA-Arg(acg)". It matches the Rfam family "tRNA". Rfam says of the family: Transfer RNA (tRNA) molecules are approximately 80 nucleotides in length. The record is from RNAcentral. Lineage: Eukaryota; Phaeophyceae; Fucales; Fucaceae.